RNAcentral lists this ribosomal RNA (255 nucleotides) under uncultured bacterium. RNAcentral describes it as "partial 16S ribosomal RNA". It matches the Rfam family "Bacterial small subunit ribosomal RNA", at positions 524 to 776 of the family's 1533-position model. The record is from RNAcentral.
UACGUAGGGUCCGAGCGUUGUCCGGAAUUAUUGGGCGUAAAGGGCUCGUAGGCGGUUUGUUGCGUCGGGGAGUGAAAACUUACAGCUUAACUGUGAGCGUGCUUCCGAUACGGGCAGACUGGAGGUAUGCAGGGGAGAACGGAAUUCCUGGUGUAGCGGUGAAAUGCGCAGAUAUCAGGAGGAACACCGGUGGCGAAGGCGGUUCUCUGGGCAUGUCCUGACGCUGAGGAGCGAAAGUGUGGGGAGGCGAACAGG